RNAcentral lists this ribosomal RNA (464 nucleotides) under uncultured bacterium. RNAcentral's name for it is "partial 16S ribosomal RNA". It matches the Rfam family "Bacterial small subunit ribosomal RNA", at positions 29 to 507 of the family's 1533-position model. The record is from RNAcentral.
ACGCACGCUGGCGGCGUGCUUAACACAUGCAAGUCGAACGGAAAGGCCCCCUUGUGGGGUACUCGAGUGGCGAACGGGUGAGUAACACGUGAGUAACCUACCCUUGACUUUGGGAUAACUUCAGGAAACUGGGGCUAAUACCGGAUAGGAGCUCCUGCUGCAUGGUGGGGGUUGGAAAGUUUCGGCGGUUGGGGAUGGGCUCGCGGCUUAUCAGCUUGUUGGUGGGGUAGUGGCUCACCAAGGCUUUGACGGGUAGCCGGCCUGAGAGGGUGACCGGCCACAUUGGGACUGAGAUACGGCCCAGACUCCUACGGGAGGCAGCAGUGGGGAAUAUUGCACAAUGGGCGGAAGCCUGAUGCAGCAACGCCGCGUGCGGGAUGACGGCCUUCGGGUUGUAAACCGCUUUCGCCUGUGACGAAGCGUGAGUGACGGUAAUGGGUAAAGAAGCACCGGCUAACUACGUG